GUCAAUAUGUCAUUUAAUUCAUGUUCAUCCAUAACAUCUACAUUCAUUUUUUUUAAUCAUUUCUUUUCAAUUCCAGGGCUAGCGGCUAGCAUGUUUGCCCGACAAGUGUUGAGGUUCUGCUUUCAGAUCUCAGCUCAGGUCAUAAAAACUCAAGACCUGCAUGAUCACCAGCCUCGCUUUGAUCUACACCAGUAAUGAUCUCGGCGUCCGUCUGCAAAACAAGCAAAACCAGAUCCAAGGCCUUCUUCCAUGAUUCCUGCUUGACGUCCUGGCUUUGACUUGUGAAAUCCCAGUGGAGUUGGCCAUCACGACGGAUAGGUAUUCUGUAAAAUUGUCUGCCAUUAAGUGCAGGACAACACCAAGGUAGGGGUU
This is a long non-coding RNA of Syngnathoides biaculeatus (alligator pipefish), 372 nucleotides long. RefSeq lists it as uncharacterized. The record is from RefSeq and is a predicted model, not a curated record. NCBI's taxonomy places the organism in Eukaryota, Metazoa, Chordata, Actinopteri, Syngnathiformes, Syngnathidae. The transcript has 3 exons.